CAAAGGCUUCGGCCGGUAAAGGAUGGGGAUGCGUCUGAUUAGCUUGCCGGCGGGGUAACGGCCCACCGGGGCGACGAUCAGUAGGGGUUCUGAGAGGAAGGUCCCCCACAUUGGAACUGAGACACGGUCCAAACUCCUACGGGAGGCAGCAGUGAGGAAUAUUGGUCAAUGGGCGCGAGCCUGAACCAGCCAAGUAGCGUGCAGGACGACGGCCCUAUGGGUUGUAAACUGCUUUUAUACGGGGAUAAAGUAUGCCACGUGUAGUUUAUUGCAGGUACCGUAUGAAUAAGGACCGGCUAAUUCCGUGCCAGCAGCCGCGGUAAUACGGAAGGUCCGGGCGUUAUCCGGAUUUAUUGGGUUUAAAGGGAGCGUAGGCCGGGUUUUAAGCGUGCCGUGAAAUGUCGGGGCUCAACCUUGACACUGCGGCGCGAACUGGAGUCCUUGAGUGCGCGGAACGUAUGCGGAAUUCGUGGUGUAGCGGUGAAAUGCUUAGAUAUCACGAAGAACCCCGAUUGCGAAGGCAGCAUACGGCAGCGCUACUGACGCUGAAGCUCGAAGGCGCGGGUAUCGAACAGGAUUAGAUACCCUGGUAGUCCGCGCGGUAAACGAUGGAUGCCCGCUGUUGGCGAUAUAUUGUCA
This 639-nucleotide ribosomal RNA is filed under the name uncultured bacterium. Its description in RNAcentral is "bacterial SSU rRNA". It matches the Rfam family "Bacterial small subunit ribosomal RNA", at positions 202 to 842 of the family's 1533-position model. The record is from RNAcentral.